GUUAAGCGACUAAGCGUACACGGUGGAUGCCCUGGCAGUCAGAGGCGAUGAAGGACGUGCUAAUCUGCGAUAAGCGUCGGUAAGGUGAUAUGAACCGUUAUAACCGGCGAUUUCCGAAUGGGGAAACCCAGUGUGAUUCGUCACACUAUCAUUAACUGAAUCCAUAGGUUAAUGAGGCGAACCGGGGGAACUGAAACAUCUAAGUACCCCGAGGAAAAGAAAUCAACCGAGAUUCCCCCAGUAGCGGCGAGCGAACGGGGAGCAGCCCAGAGCCUGAAUCAGUGUGUGUGUUAGUGGAAGCGUCUGGAAAGGCGCGCGAUACAGGGUGACAGCCCCGUACACAAAAAUGCACAUACUGUGAGCUCGAUGAGUAGGGCGGGACACGUGGUAUCCUGUCUGAAUAUGGGGGGACCAUCCUCCAAGGCUAAAUACUCCUGACUGACCGAUAGUGAACCAGUACCGUGAGGGAAAGGCGAAAAGAACCCCGGCGAGGGGAGUGAAAAAGAACCUGAAACCGUGUACGUACAAGCAGUGGGAGCACGCUUAGGCGUGUGACUGCGUACCUUUUGUAUAAUGGGUCAGCGACUUAUAUUCUGUAGCAAGGUUAACCGAAUAGGGGAGCCGAAGGGAAACCGAGUCUUAACUGGGCGUUAAGUUGCAGGGUAUAGACCCGAAACCCGGUGAUCUAGCCAUGGGCAGGUUGAAGGUUGGGUAACACUAACUGGAGGACCGAACCGACUAAUGUUGAAAAAUUAGCGGAUGACUUGUGGCUGGGGGUGAAAGGCCAAUCAAACCGGGAGAUAGCUGGUUCUCCCCGAAAGCUAUUUAGGUAGCGCCUCGUGAAUUCAUCUCCGGGGGUAGAGCACUGUUUCGGCAAGGGGGUCAUCCCGACUUACCAACCCGAUGCAAACUGCGAAUACCGGAGAAUGUUAUCACGGGAGACACACGGCGGGUGCUAACGUCCGUCGUGAAGAGGGAAACAACCCAGACCGCCAGCUAAGGUCCCAAAGUCAUGGUUAAGUGGGAAACGAUGUGGGAAGGCCCAGACAGCCAGGAUGUUGGCUUAGAAGCAGCCAUCAUUUAAAGAAAGCGUAAUAGCUCACUGGUCGAGUCGGCCUGCGCGGAAGAUGUAACGGGGCUAAACCAUGCACCGAAGCUGCGGCAGCGACGCUGAUGCGUUGUUGGGUAGGGGAGCGUUCUGUAAGCCUGUGA
RNAcentral lists this ribosomal RNA (1212 nucleotides) under Escherichia coli. RNAcentral's name for it is "partial 23S ribosomal RNA". It matches the Rfam family "Bacterial large subunit ribosomal RNA", at positions 1 to 1253 of the family's 2925-position model. The record is from RNAcentral. Lineage: Bacteria; Pseudomonadati; Pseudomonadota; Gammaproteobacteria; Enterobacterales; Enterobacteriaceae.